AUAUGAGUGACAAAUCAUCACAC
RNAcentral lists this small nuclear RNA (23 nucleotides) under Arabidopsis thaliana (thale cress). Its description in RNAcentral is "snRNA_09941". The record is from RNAcentral. Lineage: Eukaryota; Viridiplantae; Streptophyta; Magnoliopsida; Brassicales; Brassicaceae.